RNAcentral lists this ribosomal RNA (497 nucleotides) under uncultured bacterium. Its description in RNAcentral is "partial 16S ribosomal RNA". It matches the Rfam family "Bacterial small subunit ribosomal RNA", at positions 28 to 507 of the family's 1533-position model. The record is from RNAcentral.
GAUGAACGCUGGCGGCGUGCCUAAUACAUGCAAGUCGAGCGAACAGACGAGGAGCUUGCUCCUCUGACGUUAGCGGCGGACGGGUGAGUAACACGUGGAUAACCUACCUAUAAGACUGGGAUAACUUCGGGAAACCGGAGCUAAUACCGGAUAAUAUAUUGAACCGCAUGGUUCAAUAGUGAAAGACGGUUUUGCUGACACUUAUAGAUGGAUCCGCGCCGCAUUAGCUAGUUGGUAAGGUAACGGCUUACCAAGGCGACGAUGCGUAGCCGACCUGAGAGGGUGAUCGGCCACACUGGAACUGAGACACGGUCCAGACUCCUACGGGAGGCAGCAGUAGGGAAUCUUCCGCAAUGGGCGAAAGCCUGACGGAGCAACGCCGCGUGAGUGAUGAAGGCCUUCGGAUCGUAAAACUCUGUUAUUAGGGAAGAACAAAUGUGUAAGUAACUAUGCACGUCUUGACGGUACCUAAUCAGAAAGCCACGGCUAACUACGUG